Molecule: ribosomal RNA, 460 nt
Filed under: uncultured bacterium
Lineage: Bacteria
Description: partial 16S ribosomal RNA
Rfam family: Bacterial small subunit ribosomal RNA
Source: RNAcentral
CCUACGGGUGGCAGCAGUGAGGAAUAUUGGUCAAUGGGCGCGAGUCUGAACCAGCCAAGUAGCGUGAAGGAUGACUGCCCUACGGGUUGUAAACUUCUUUUAUAAAGGAAUAAAGUGAGGCACGUGUGCCUGUUUGUAUGUACUUUAUGAAUAAGGAUCGGCUAACUCCGUGCCAGCAGCCGCGGUAAUACGGAGGAUUCGAGCGUUAUCCGGAUUUAUUGGGUUUAAAGGGAGCGUAGGUGGAUUGUUAAGUCAGUUGUGAAAGUUUGCGGCUCAACCGUAAAAUUGCAGUUGAAACUGGCUGUCUUGAGAUGUCGAGAGGUAUGCGGAAUGCGCAGUGUAGCGGUGAAAUGCUUAGAGAUUGCGCAGAACUCCGAUUGCGAAGGCAGCAUACCGGCGGCGAUCUGACGCUGAGGCACGAAAGCGUGGGUAUCGAACAGGAUUAGAUACCCCUGUAGUC